Molecule: long non-coding RNA, 3199 nt
Filed under: Xyrichtys novacula (pearly razorfish)
Lineage: Eukaryota; Metazoa; Chordata; Actinopteri; Labriformes; Labridae
Source: RNAcentral
AGGAUCUAGCAGUAGCACGUAGCAGUAGCAUGUAGUAUCCGAGCGGGCAGUUCGGACGCAGCAUGGGACUCCUGAGGUUCAAACCUUAUUCAGGAUGAAUUUUAAAGUCCAGGAGCAAAAGUACCAAGAUGAAAGCACGCAGAGCUCAUCCCCAACUGUGGAUGGUCUCCGGUGGCGCAGUGUAGUAGACAUCUCACACCCUAAUGUGAGCCAUGUGUUCUGGUUGAAGACCGGCUCCUGGUUCGAAACCCGCUCAAGCCCAGGGGUGUGUGGUUACCCCCCCCCCCGGUGUUUCCAGAGAGAUAAAAUAGGGGGGUUAUGCUACAGGAAGUCAGAGCAGGCUGAACUUUAGAGUAAGGGUGGGAAGAAGGGUUGCGGGGGGGGAUUAUAGGGGGGGCGCGGCGGCCGAUGACCGGGGGCCUGAGCAGAGGGCGUAACCACAAUAAGGAUUGAAGCCACUGACUCAUGUGGACACACGAGACAAUCAUGUUUUUUUUACAUAUAUCACUGUACUUUGUAGACUCUAGACCUUCAAAAUAGAAGUGGGCAAGGUAGGACUUGAACCUAUGACCUCAGGAGUCCCAGUCAGUCUUCUUAUCCCCUGAGCCACUUGGAGACACAGGAUUAUACCACUUCUUUCCUCUUUCACUUUCCUGUCUAGACACUAGACUUCAAAAUUCACCUUGUCCCAAAAAAGGCUCAAACACACCACCUCAGGAGUACCAGUCAGUCUCCUUAUCCCGUGAGCCAUGUGGACACACAAGACAAUUAUGUUUUUUUUCAUAUAUCACUGUACUUUUUAGACUCUAGACCUUCAAAAUUCACCAAGAAGUGGGCAAGGUUGGACUCGAACCUGUGACCUCAGGAGUUCCAGUCAGUGUUCUUAUCCCCUGAGCCACUUGGACACACAGGAUUAUACCAUUUGUUUCCUCUUUCACUUUACUGUCUAGACACUAGACUUCAAAAUUCACCUUGUCCCAAAAAAGGCUCGAACACACCACCUCAGGAGUACCAGCCAGUCUCCUUAUCCCGUGAGCCAUGUUGGCACACAAGACAAUCAGGUUUUUUUUCACAUAUCGCUGUCCUUUGUGGACUCAAGACUUUAAAAUUCACCAAAAACUAGGUAACGUAGGACUCGAACCUAUGACCUCAAGAGUUCCAGUCAGUGUACUUAUCAUCUGAGCCACUUGGACAUACAGGAUUAUACCACUUGUUUCCUCUUUCACUUUCUUGUCUAGACACUAGACUUCAAAAUUCACCUUGUCCCAAAAAAGGUUGGAACACUCCACCUCAGGAGUACCAGUCAGUCUCCUUAUCCCGUGAGCCAUGUGGACACACAAGAGAAAUGUGUUUUUUUUUUCACAUAUCGCUGUACUUUUUAGUCUCUAGACCUUCAAAAUUCACCAAGAAGUGGGCAAGGUUGGACUCGAACCUGUGACCUCACGAGUUCCAGUCAGUGUUCUCAUCCCCUGAGCCACUUGGACACACAUGAUUAUACCAUUUGUUUCCUCUUUCAAUUUCAUGUCUAGACACUAGACUUCAAAAUUCACCUUGUCCCAAAAAAGGCUCGAACACACCACCUCAGGAGUACCAGUCAGUCUCCUUAUCCCGUGAGCCAUGUGGACACACAAGAGAAAUGUGUUUUUUUUCAUAUAUCACUGUACUUUAUAGACUCUAGACCUUCAAAAUUCACCAAGAAGUGGGCAAGGUUGGACUCGAACCUGUGACCUCAGGAGUUCCAGUCAGUGUUCUUAUCCCCUGAGCCACUUGGAGACACAGGAGUAUACCACUUGUUUCCUCUUUCACUUUACUGUCUUGACACUAGACUUCAAAAUUCACCUUGUCCCAAAAAAGGCUGGAACACACCACCUCAGGAGUACCAGUCAGUCUCCUUAUCCCGUGACUCAUGUGGACACACAAGAGAAAUGUGUUUUUUUUUCAUAUAUCACUGUACUUUGUAGACUCUAGACCUUCAAAAUAGAAGUGGGCAAGGUAGGACUUGAACCUAUGACCUUAGGAGUCCCAGUCAGUCUUCUUAUCCCCUGAGCCACUUGGAGACACAGGAUUAUACCACUUGUUUCCUCUUUCACUUUCCUGUCUAGACACUAGACUUCAAAAUUCACCUUGUCCCAAAAAAGGUUCGAACACUCCACCUCAGGAGUACCAGUCAGUCUCCUUAUCCCGUGAGCCAUGUGGACACACAAGACAAUUAUGUUUUUUUUCAUAUAUCACUGUACUUUUUAGACUCUAGACCUUCAAAAUUCACCAAGAAGUGGGUAAGGUUGGACUCGAACAUAUGACCUCAGGAAUCCCAGUCAGUGUUCUUAUACUCUGAGCCACUUGGAGACACAGGAUUAUACCACUUGUUUCCUCUUUCACUCUUCUGUCUAGACACUAGACUUCAAAAUUCAACUUGUCCCGAAAAAGGCUCGAACACACCACCUCAUAGUAGGGUCUGUUAACUUGAAAAAAUGGCCAAAUUUUUAUGCGGUGGAUAAAAGCACCAAAUUUGGUACACACAUUCUUCAGGGUGUAUCUCAUCAUCUCAGAAGAGUUGCCCAAAAAUGCAUGAGUGAAAAUGGCUCAAAUGGAGGUCGUAUACCUGACCCAGUACAAAAGUCUCUCGUUGAUUUAUUUAGCAGGAAAAAGGGAGUCGAUCUCUGCUGCUCUGAAACCACAUCUGAGUCCAAAAACAAAGACAAAGAAUAACUUCAUACUGCAAAACCAAGUGUGAUGCCUGUCAGGAAACCUUAUAAAUCACAGCAUGAAGAUGGCGGGGGGUUUUAGUGUCGGACAUCCUGAAUUGGCUCGUACCCAGUCUGCCAUGAAAUUGGUUGAAUAUUCAGAGAUUUCCACCACCAGGAAGUCCUCCGAAGGUCUCCAAAUGUCCCCGCCCUCAGGCUUACGUCACGACUGACUAGAAAAAACAAGAGUACCCAGAUGCAGCGCCAAGAUGGCGGACCCAAAGAUAAAAAACCACAUUUACAAAACGCAAUAAGUUUCCGCAUUACCUCCGAUUGGCGGACCCAAAACAUGAACUUUGAACUUCUGCUUUGCGAUGCCAGAACAGUAGGUGGCGGUAUGUACCUACACUUUCUGACGGCAAAAUUUACAGAAGAAGAAGAACUCUCAGGAAGUUUGAAAAGAAGCAAGCCGUCCGCAUUCAUUCAAUCUCACCUCCGACCACUCAAACUAACCC